Molecule: long non-coding RNA, 996 nt
Organism: Lolium perenne
Lineage: Eukaryota; Viridiplantae; Streptophyta; Magnoliopsida; Poales; Poaceae
Source: RefSeq, a predicted model, not a curated record
GGGAGCAGGGAGGGAAAUUGGUGCCAGGGACAAGGGAAAGAGAGGGGAACAGACCAGGGGAAUCAGGUUGGGAGAGAAGAGAGAGGAGGGAGCUCCUCUCAAGCUUCUGGCGACUCCUACCCCUGGCGCAGCCCUCUCAAAGGUGUUGCCUUGCAACCCGCCUUGAGCGCCUAGGCGUUGAGGCGCCCCCCAGCCUUGGGACACCUGGCCGCCUUUAAAACCAUGGAUUGAAGAUUGUGAAUCCAAUCAUUUGGAAAAAGCAGCUGGUCUUCUUAGCCCCGUUGGCUCUGAUUUUAAGCUCUCCAAAGGUGGCUUUGAGAGUGUAUAUAAUCUAUGUUGAUGUAUUAAGCCUUCCAUCUUCACCGAGGGAAGCAAUGGCUCUAUGGGACAAAACGAAGGAGUUAUUGAGGACAUGGAUCCUCUCCAUUCUUAUCUUAACCCUCUUUGUAACUUUAACAAUUUUCUUAUUUUAUUUGAUCUAUAUGUAUGUACAGAAUUUUGAUUAAGAUCCCUGUAUUUGAUCAAUUUAUGGAGUUAUUGAGCUAUAUAUUUAUCUAUGUUUUUUCCUCAUGAAGUUCUUGAUGAAUUUCUUACAGGAGGUGUAUUGGAUUUAUAGAUAGAAACACAAUUUGAAGCAGGAGGCUGCAAUGGAACUUUUUACCAUGUUUGUUAGGUAAAUCUUGGGGCGAGCAGUGGAUGGCUGAUGGCGUGGAUGGCCACGAUGGAGUACUUGGUCAGCGGAUUACAUGGAGUGGAGUCGAUGAAGGGAGCUGUAGCAGAUCAAGGAGAAGAGUUAGAGAGAUAGGUUAAGAGGAAGAAAUUGUACCGUUAACGCAAAUUGUGAUGGGAUAGACGGUGUCAGCCAAUAAAUUGUUUACGCGGGGCAAACAUUUGCAAUAGUUUCUCGUUCCGUGGUAGCAGUGGUAUCAGUUAAGAGGCUCAAAAUCUCGAACCAAACUUUUUCUAUUUGGCCACUCACAAUAAGCAUAAACAUUC